Molecule: ribosomal RNA, 462 nt
Filed under: uncultured bacterium
Lineage: Bacteria
Description: bacterial SSU rRNA
Rfam family: Bacterial small subunit ribosomal RNA
Source: RNAcentral
GAAACUAGGUGCUGCAUGGUGUCGUCAGCUCGUGCCGUGAGGUGUCGGCUUAAGUGCCAUAACGAGCGCAACCCUGCUGUCAGUUGCCAUCAGGUAAUGCUGGGUACUCUGUCGGGACUGCUACUGUAAGGUAGAGGAGGGUGGGGAUGACGUCAAAUCAGCACGGCCCUUACGUCCGGGGCGACACACGUGUUACAAUGGGUGGUACAGAGGGUAGCUACUGGGCGACCAGAUGCCAAUCUCGUAAAACCAUCCUCAGUUCGGAUCGGAGUCUGCAACUCGACUCCGUGAAGCUGGAUUCGCUAGUAAUCGCGCAUCAGCCAUGGCGCGGUGAAUACGUUCCCGGGCCUUGUACACACCGCCCGUCAAGCCAUGAAAGCCGGGGGCGCUUGAAGUCCGUGACCGCAAGGAUCGGCCUAGAGCGAAACUGGUAAUGGGGCUAAGUCGUAACAAGGUAACCUA